Molecule: long non-coding RNA, 764 nt
Filed under: Ananas comosus (pineapple)
Lineage: Eukaryota; Viridiplantae; Streptophyta; Magnoliopsida; Poales; Bromeliaceae
Description: long non-coding RNA (ACOM_LNC019416)
Source: RNAcentral
CCGUAUAAGACUGGGAACGUCGGAUCGAGGAUCUGUCGUAGGUGCCUAGGGAGAGGCAUGAAAUCUGAUGUUAUGGUAAGGGGCAAAGGCGAAGACGAGCAGCGUGCUGAUUCGCGUGGAGAACUCCAAGACGAGGGACGUUUGGAGUCUAACCCCUAAGUCCAAGGUCGAUGGAUGUAUGACCUUGAAUCCCAGAGAGGGGAAGUUUAGUCGGAGGACUAUUUCCUUGAGAAGGAGUUAUAAGGUUGGCUACUGGACUCGUGGAACUUUGGUUAAGUCAGGACGAAGUGGGCGUUGAGGCCGAGUAGCUCCGAUGGAGAGAACCAAGUUAAGGAAGAGUGCCAGUACAAUCUUGCAAUCCGAGGGAUUANCCUGAUGUUAUGGUGAGGGGCAAAGGCGAAGACGAGCAGCGUGCUGAUUCGCGUGGGGAACUCCAAGACGAGGGACGUUUGGAGUCUAACCCCUAAGUCCAAGGUCGAGGGAUAUAUGACCCUGAAUUCCAGAGGGGAAGUUUAGUUGGAGGACUAUUUCCUUGAGAAGGAGUUAUAAGGUUGGCUACUGGACUCGUGGAACUUUGGUUAAGUCAGGGCGAAGUGGGCGUUAAGGCCGAGUAGCUCCGAUGGAGAGAACCAAGUUAUGGAGGAGUGCCAGUACAAUCUUGCAAUCUGAGGGAUUAUGAGUUUUAAGUUCUGGUUUCGUGGAGGAGUUAGUGUGGUGCGAGCGAGGCACCAAGGCUGGGGAGCUCUAACUCAGGGAGGGACAGA